Long non-coding RNA from Manacus vitellinus (golden-collared manakin), 177 nucleotides. RefSeq lists it as uncharacterized. NCBI's taxonomy places the organism in Eukaryota, Metazoa, Chordata, Aves, Passeriformes, Pipridae. The record is from RefSeq and is a predicted model, not a curated record. The transcript has 3 exons.
AGGGAGAAAAGGGCGACCCCGGAGAGCCGGGGUGCUGCUACAAGGAACAGGGGUGCAAACCAGGCCACCUCCCCUUCCCCAGCACCGGCAGCCAGCCCAGCUCCUGGGGGUCCAUCAGAGGGUACCAGACGGACAGCAAAGAGGAACCAGAGAUUUAUGGAGCGAUCAUCCCCCAUG